CCUAAGUAUAGACGAUUAUAUCGUGAAACCGCGAACGGCUCAUUAAAUCAGCUAUGAUCUACGGGAUCUUAAUGAGUUUUACAUGGAUAACUGUGGUAAUUCUAGAGCUAAUACUUGCUGACUAUGCUCCAACCUUUUGGAAGGAGUGCAUUUAUUAGAAGCAAAACCAGAGGCUUCGUGCCUAGUUAUGCUGAUUCAAAGUAACCCAGUUGAUCGCAUGGUCUUGUACCGGCGACAUAUCCAAUGAGUAUCUGCUUUAUCAACUGUCGAUGGUAGUGUAUUUGACUACAAUGGUGUUGACGGGUAACGGAGAAUAAGGGUUCGACUCCGGAGAAGGGGCCUGAGAAAUGGCCACUACGUCUAAGGAUGGCAGCAGGCGCGCAAAUUACCCACUCUCGGUAUGAGGAGGUAGUGAAGAGAAAUAACGAGACCGAUCUCUUUGAGGACGGUUAUCGUAAUGGGUAAAAUUUAAACCCUUUGACGAGUAUCUAUGAGAGGGCAAGUCUGGUGCCAGCAGCCGCGGUAAUUCCAGCUCUCAAAAUGCAUAGAAUCAUUGUUGCGGUUAAAAAGCUCGUAGUUGAAUCUGUGCCGGGUGUUCGGUCGGCUCUCUGAGCUUGCACUGAGAUACUUGGUGUUAGCGCCGGUCUUCUCGUCGUCGCCUUUAUUGGUGGUGGCGUGUGGCUGGUAAUUUUACUUUGAACAAAGCAAAUGGCUCAAACAAGGCGUUUCGCCUGAAUGUUUUUGCAUGGAAUAAUAGAAUAGGACUACGGUCCGGUUUUGUUGGUUUUACUGACCGUUGUAAUGAUUAAAAGGGACAAACGGGGGCAUUCGUAUUGUUGCGCGAGAGGUGAAAUUCUAGGACCGUAACAAGACGACCUACAGCGAAAGCAAUUGCCAAGUUUGUCUUCAUUAAUCAAGAACGAAAGUCAGAGGAUCGAAGGUGAUUAGAUACCGCCCUAGUUCUGACCGUAAACUAUGCCAACUAGCGAUUCGCCGGUGGAUUAUCUGCCUUGGCGAGGAGCUCUCCGGAAACGAAAGUCUUCCGGUUCCGGGGGAAGUAUGGUUGCAAAGCUGAAACUUAAAGGAAUUGACGGAAGGACACCACCAGGAGUGGAGCCUGCGGCUUAAUUUGACUCAACACGGGAAAACUCACCCGGGCCGGACGGUAUAAGGAUUGACAGAUUGAUAGCUCUUUCAUGAUUUGGUGGUUGGUGGUGCAUGGCCGUUCUUAGUUCGUGGAUUGAUUUGUCUGGUUUAUUCCGAUAACGAACGAGACUUAAGCCUACUAAAUAGUUGGCUCAUUCACUCUAUGUGUGAGUGUUAUACUUCCUAGAGGAAUUUUCGGUGUUUAACCGCAUGAAAAUGAGCAAUAACAGGUCUGUGAUGCCCUUAGAUGUCCGGGGCUGCACGCGCGCUACACUGGUGUAGCCAGCGUGUAUAUCCUUUCUCGUUAGAGACUGGGUAAACCAAUCAAAUUACGCCGUGAUUGGGAUUGGAAAUUGCAAUUAUUUUCCGUUAACGAGGAAUUCCAAGUAAAUACGAGUCAUUAACUCGCGUUGAUUACGUCCCUGUCCUUUGUACACACCGCCCGUCGCUGCCCGGGACUGAGCCAUUUCGAGAAAUGUGGGGAUUGCUGGCCGGUGGUCUUUCGGGAUUGCCUUUCGGUGAGAACCAAAUUAAUCGUAGUGGCUUGAACCGGGCAAAAGUCGUAACAAGGUGGCUGUAG
Molecule: ribosomal RNA, 1726 nt
Filed under: Contortylenchus sp. Tomakomai
Lineage: Eukaryota; Metazoa; Nematoda; Chromadorea; Rhabditida; Allantonematidae
Also listed under: 1 other name
Description: SSU rRNA
Rfam family: Eukaryotic small subunit ribosomal RNA
Source: RNAcentral